RNAcentral lists this ribosomal RNA (325 nucleotides) under uncultured bacterium. RNAcentral's name for it is "partial 16S ribosomal RNA". It matches the Rfam family "Bacterial small subunit ribosomal RNA", at positions 355 to 696 of the family's 1533-position model. The record is from RNAcentral.
UGGGGAAUAUUGGACAAUGGGGGCAACCCUGAUCCAGCAAUGCCGCGUGUGUGAAGAAGGUCUUCGGAUUGUAAAGCACUUUCGACGGGGACGAUGAUGACGGUACCCGUAGAAGAAGCCCCGGCUAACUUCGUGCCAGCAGCCGCGGUAAUACGAAGGGGGCUAGCGUUGCUCGGAAUGACUGGGCGUAAAGGGCGUGUAGGCGGUUUACACAGUCAGAUGUGAAAUCCCCGGGCUUAACCUGGGAGCUGCAUUUGAUACGUGUAGACUAGAGUGUGAGAGAGGGUUUGUGGAAUUCCCAGUGUAGAGGUGAAAUUCGUAGAUA